GGUGGGGUGCCAGAGCGGUUUAUUGGACUGGUCUUGAAAACCAGCGAAGGGGCAACUCUUCCGUGGGUUCAAAUCCCACCCCCACCGCCA
Molecule: transfer RNA, 90 nt
Filed under: Chromatiaceae bacterium
Lineage: Bacteria; Pseudomonadati; Pseudomonadota; Gammaproteobacteria; Chromatiales; Chromatiaceae
Description: tRNA-Ser
Rfam family: tRNA
About the family: Transfer RNA (tRNA) molecules are approximately 80 nucleotides in length. Their secondary structure includes four short double-helical elements and three loops (D, anti-codon, and T loops). Further hydrogen bonds mediate the characteristic L-shaped molecular structure. tRNAs have two regions of fundamental functional importance: the anti-codon, which is responsible for specific mRNA codon recognition, and the 3' end, to which the tRNAs corresponding amino acid is attached (by aminoacyl-tRNA synthetases). tRNAs cope with the degeneracy of the genetic code in two manners: having more than one tRNA (with a specific anti-codon) for a particular amino acid; and 'wobble' base-pairing, i.e. permitting non-standard base-pairing at the 3rd anti-codon position.
Source: RNAcentral